RNAcentral lists this unclassified non-coding RNA (220 nucleotides) under uncultured Actinomycetes bacterium. Its description in RNAcentral is "uncultured actinobacterium contains 16S-23S intergenic spacer region". Lineage: Bacteria; Bacillati; Actinomycetota; Actinomycetes. The record is from RNAcentral.
UCCGGUUUGGCACCGGCAGUCUCCCUAGAGUUCCCGGCAUGAUCCGCUGGCAACUAAGGACAGGGGUUGCGCUCGUUGCGCCACUUAAGGCAACACCUCACGGCACGAGCUGACGACAGCCAUGCACCACCUGUGCAGGCUCCGAAGAGCACCCGCUUUCACGGGUUUCACCCUGCAUGUCAAGCCCAGGUAAGGUGGGGAUGACGUUGUACACCUGAAC